Molecule: long non-coding RNA, 3824 nt
Filed under: Lupinus angustifolius (narrow-leaved blue lupine)
Lineage: Eukaryota; Viridiplantae; Streptophyta; Magnoliopsida; Fabales; Fabaceae
Description: long non-coding RNA (LANG_LNC000806)
Source: RNAcentral
UAAUCCAAACAAAAUCUAAAGUGUCUUAUUCAAAUAUGUAAAUUGGUUAUAUAUAGUGAGAAAUUCGACCAAGCCUGGAUCCAAUGGAGUAAAAUACACUGAUUGACAUUCAAAGACUUUUCUAAGAAUUCAAAUCAUAAAACAAAAACGUGUUAAACACUUUAAUGAGGAAUAAUGCUCAUGAUUUAUUGUCAUAUUGAGUUGUUCUUGUAUGGAAACUUUCUCUUUGUCCUUCCACACAUUGAAGUCGUGUACCAAGUCUCUUUGGUGGGAAGAUUCAGUUCUCUUGGCACCAAUAAGGAAAUAUUUAUUUGUCUUAAUGUAUUUCCAUGCAUGUUGCUUCCAUUUAGGCAAGUUUUGAAGUGGAGAAUAUCUUUAUUAUUUGAAUUACAUGUCCCAAAUCAGAUUUGAAUGAUGAAUGAUUUGGGACAAGUAUGAAAAGAAAUAAAUCAGCAAACCUUGUGAUUCACGCCCCUCCUUGUUUAGGAAACAAUCUUCAUUGUUUAAUGAGCCAUUGAAUGUUGCCAUAUAGGAACCACACGUGUUCUCCCAAAUAGGAAGGUUUUUGAAAGUACAUACCCCUCUCCAAAUAAGGAAUGAGUCAAUUGACAUUCAUUCUCUUAAAGCCUUUUGAUUUCCUAAAUAAGGAAUGAAUCAAUUAGCUUUCUCAUUAAGGUAAGUAUUCACACGCCUCAAUCAUCUUUGGUUCUUUACACCUUACUCAAAUAAAAGAUGAAUCAAUUGGCAUACAUCUUUUAAAGUCUCUUACUCCCAAGAAGGUAAGGUCUUGAAUUUGUUCUUCAUUUGAGAUCACUCAUCCAAGCUGAAUAAGGUAGACAUUCAUAUGCUUCCAUAUGCCUAUUUCCAAGAAGAAAGUUGUACCUGAUUAUAUGAAUAAUAGAGUCCAAAAUAAAGUAAAAUGUUGGUCACAUUAAACCAAAUUACACCCAAUAGGAAAGUCUUAAAUUAUUCUUAAAAACAAGGAAAGAAAAUAACUCCUAUUCUACAUGGGGACAAAAGGCCCACACUUUAUUAAAUGCAACUUAAAAAUCUUAUGCCUUCCUAAAAAAUUGUAUCCUCUAUCAGAUGGUUCUUCAAGUUGAAGGACACACUUGAUGACCUUAUGCUCUUUAUCAAUAUUUUAUCAAUAUUGGAAUAUUUCUGGAUCAGAUCAAAUUUUAGUAACUACUUUGAGAGCAUCUUGUAUCACAUGAUAUUUUAGUAGCUUUAUUAGGAACAUCUUUUAUUGGGAGAUAUUCUAGUAGCUUUACUUAGAGCAUCUUUUAUAUCAAGAUUUUUGAGUAACGUUAUUGAGAGCAUCUUGUACUUGAGAUGCUUUAUCUAACCUAUAUUUAUAUAUGGAGAAAAUUUUGGUCUUGUAAUGUAAAGUUUUAGUAGAUAUAUAUAUUAUGACAAAAAAAUUAAUAAUUUAUUUUCUGAGAGUGAUACUUAUUGAGAUGGACAACCACAUAUCUUAAAAAAAAUUAAUUUUUUUCCCAAAAAAUAAGAUAAUAUUACUAAAAAUAUAUGAUUCUAGUAUAGAAGUUGAGUCUUUUAAAUUUAGUCCUUCCAUAAAAUAAAGUAUCAAUUCAGUUCUUUAUUUUUUGGAUGGUUGUCAAUUUCACCAUUUCACUAUACCAAUGUUAAAUUUCAUUAAAAUUUACCUGUUUUCAUUGAAAAGCGCACUUAUCUUUAAUCUAUCCUUGUCAACUUCCCUCCUUUACUCUUUUCAUCUUUAUCAUAUUCAUUCAAGAAUUCAAAAUAAACAAUUAUUUUGAAUGAAACAUAUUUACUUUCACCCAAUUUAUAUAUGUUUGAUUGAAAAAAAUAUAUUUAAAUUAAAAUUUUGAUUAUUAAAUAGUUUUUUAACUAAUGCUAACUUUAUGGUAUAUAAAAUAAUCAUAAAAUAUCAGCUAACAUUAAAAAUAAGAAUGUAAUAUCUAUACAGUAGAAUAUUUAUAUAUAUUUAAUAUAUCAUUUGUUGUUUAUUUGAAUUAUUUUUUUGAAGAAUGAAUGAUGAUUAUAUGAAUUAUGAAUGAUACAAUGAUAAUAUAUAAAACUCAUACACCGUUAAUGUAUACAUUUUUUCUCUAAAAAAUAAUUUCUUAAAUUAACACCAUUAUAGUCAUGGUCACUAAGGAAUCAUACUAUCAUAGUAUGAAAAUCUUACAAUCAAAAGCAAGUGGAAAAGAAAUUACAUAAUUCAUCCAUAAAAAGAAAGAAUGUAGUGAGUAACAAGGUUGUCCAAGAAAGAAAUAUGCACUAAAAUUAAUAGGGUAGGGUUCUUAAAAUGUACUAAUUGUAUUUAGGUAUGAAUUUGAAUUGAAUUCGAGUAAAAAUUCAAGAAUCAUAUUGAAAAUAUCACAUCUUUAAUUUUAUUCUUAAAUGGGUAAUGUUUUAAUUUUCACAUUUCCCUUGAAGUUAAGUAUUUUAAUUACUUUUUUAGUACAUCUAUAAAUUAUUGUUUGGUUUGUAACUUAGCACACACUCUUCUAUUUUUACACCCUAAUUUUCUUCACUAGCUUGUAGCUACUAUGCUUAACUUAAGCACCACUCCACCCCUUGCUAUGAUAAUUUUAAAAACCAUGCUAUGAAUAAUAAUCUUAAUUUUAUUUAUCAUAUUUAAUGAUAUAAAUUGAAGUAAUUUCCAAGAGCCACAUUCAACUUAUCAAUUGUAUAUAAGGAAGCUAAAAACAUUUUUUUUAAAAGUGUAAUAUAUAUAUACCGUUAGUGUAAAAAUUUAUAUAUAACCAAUACAUUAUUCACCAUUCAUUUGUAUUAAUUUUUCUAAAGAAUCAAUGGUUAUUGAAAAUGAAUCUAGAUGAUAGACUAAUAAUAUAUAAAACUUCUUACUAUAAGUGCAUACAUUUUUUCCCUCAUUUUUUUAAAUUAAAAUUCAUGGACAAGCUGAGUGAAAUCUUGAGGGAUCUUGAAAUGCUUUGGUCACACCCCAAAUAGUUUUGUUAAAUAAGUCUAUAUAAAAAAAUAUUGUAUAUACUAUCAAUAUAAUGAUUUAUACCUAAUCACUAUAUUAUCAUCAUUCAUUUAUAUUAAUUUUUUGAAAAGUCAAUGAUAAUUAAAAAUAAAUGGUAAAUGAUAAACUAAGUGUAUAAAACUAUUACAAUAUUAGUGCAUACAUUUUUUCACUUCAAAAAAUUAAAUUAAAUGAUCACUCUUAACCACAUAUAGAAUUUAUUAAGGGGUUAUUUUCAAUGUGACGAAUCACUUUUAGCCUGAAUAAAAUCUCUUUAACUCUAUUAUGUGUGGAGUUAUAGUUGGAGAAAAUUGAAAAUUUAGGACAUGUGUUUUUUUGCCCCACAUAAUCGUCAUAGAUUAAUUAAAGAAAAAAAAAAAAGUGCAUACCCACAAUUAUAAUAUAAGAGUUUUUUUUACCAUAUCUCUGUAUCAUUUAUAUUUAAUCGUUAUCAAUUCUUAAAUAAAAGUAAUACAAAUCAAUGACUAGAUAAUACACUGGUUAUGUAUAUAUAUAUCUUUAUACUGACAACACAUAAAUAUUAUACUCUUAUUUAAUAUAGUACAUCGUGUACAUCUAUGUACUGACAAUUUAAAAAUUUAUACAUAGUCACUGCAUUAUCUAUUAUUUACUUAUAUUACUUUUUGUUGUUCAAAAAUCAAUGAUAAUUAAACAUAUGAAUAAUGCAUAAUACAAUACAAUAACAAUAUAUAAAACUUGUUUUUUUUUCAAUGUAAACAUGAGCAAGAUUUUUUCUUACCAAAUUAGGCAUGCUUGAUAUUCAUGGUCCAACUUGAAGGGGGUGUUAGAUUCAUAUAAAUCAUAGUUCCAAAUGUAACUCAAACUCACU